Molecule: ribosomal RNA, 676 nt
Filed under: Cryptosporidium environmental sequence
Lineage: Eukaryota; Apicomplexa; Conoidasida; Eucoccidiorida; Cryptosporidiidae
Description: SSU rRNA
Rfam family: Eukaryotic small subunit ribosomal RNA
Source: RNAcentral
GCCUACCGUGGCUAUGACGGGUAACGGGGAAUUAGGGUUCGAUUCCGGAGAGGGAGCCUGAGAAACGGCUACCACAUCUAAGGAAGGCAGCAGGCGCGCAAAUUACCCAAUCCUAAUACAGGGAGGUAGUGACAAGAAAUAACAAUACAGAACCUCACGGUUUUGUAAUUGGAAUGAGUUAAGUAUAAACCCCUUAACGAGUAUCAAUUGGAGGGCAAGUCUGGUGCCAGCAGCCGCGGUAAUUCCAGCUCCAAUAGCGUAUAUUAAAGUUGUUGCAGUUAAAAAGCUCGUAGUUGAUUUUCUGUUAAUUUUUAUGUAUAAUAUUGCGAUAUUUACAUAAUAUUAACAUAAUUCACAUUACUUUACAGUAUGUGGAAUUUUACUUUGAGAAAAUUAGAGUGCUUAAAGCAGGCUAUUGCCUUGAAUACUCCAGCAUGGAAUAAUAUUAAGGAUUUUUAUUCUUCUUAUUGGUUCUAGAAUAAAAAUAAUGAUUAAUAGGAACAGUUGGGGGCAUUUGUAUUUAACAGUUAGAGGUGAAAUUCUUAGAUUUGUUAAAGACAAACUACUGCGAAAGCAUUUGCCAAGGAUGUUUUCAUUAAUCAAGAACGAAAGUUAGGGGAUCGAAGACGAUCAGAUACCGUCGUAGUCUUAACCAUAAACUAUGCCAACUAGAGAU